GAGGAUAUAGCUUAAAUGGUAGAGUGCAUGCUUAGCGUGCACAAGGUCCUGGGUUCAAUUCCCAGUACCUCCU
RNAcentral lists this transfer RNA (73 nucleotides) under Camelus bactrianus (Bactrian camel). It matches the Rfam family "tRNA". From Rfam's summary of the family: Transfer RNA (tRNA) molecules are approximately 80 nucleotides in length. RNAcentral also lists the same sequence under 2 other names. The record is from Rfam by way of RNAcentral. Lineage: Eukaryota; Metazoa; Chordata; Mammalia; Artiodactyla; Camelidae.